GCAAGUCGAGCGGAAACGAUGGGAGCUUGCUCCCAGGCGUCGAGCGGCGGACGGGUGAGUAACGCGUAGGAAUCUGCCCAGUAGAGGGGGAUAGCCCGGGGAAACCCGGAUUAAUACCGCAUACGCCCUACGGGGGAAAGGCCGGGAUCUUCGGACCGGUCACUAUUGGAUGAGCCUGCGUGAGAUUAGCUAGUUGGUGGGGUAAAGGCUCACCUAGGCGACGAUCCCUAGCUGUUCUGAGAGGAUGAUC
RNAcentral lists this ribosomal RNA (250 nucleotides) under uncultured bacterium. RNAcentral's name for it is "partial 16S ribosomal RNA". It matches the Rfam family "Bacterial small subunit ribosomal RNA", at positions 57 to 305 of the family's 1533-position model. The record is from RNAcentral.